This 584-nucleotide ribosomal RNA is filed under the name uncultured bacterium. RNAcentral describes it as "partial 16S ribosomal RNA". It matches the Rfam family "Bacterial small subunit ribosomal RNA", at positions 355 to 1375 of the family's 1533-position model. The record is from RNAcentral.
UGGGGAAUUUUGGACAAUGGGCGAAAGCCUGAUCCAGCAAUGCCGCGUGUGUGAAGAAGGCCUUCGGGUUGUAAAGCACUUUUGUCCGGAAAGAAAUCCUUGGCUCUAAUACAGUCGGGGGAUGACGUACCGGAAGAAUAAGCACCGGCUAACUACGUGCCAGCAGCCGCGGUAAUACGUAGGGUGCAAGCGUUAAUCGGAAUUACUGGGCGUAAAGCGUGCGCAGGCGGUUUGCUAAGACCGAUGUGAAAUCCCCGGGCUCAACCUGGGAACUGCAUUGGUGACUGGCAGGCUAGAGUAUGGCAGAGGGGGGUAGAAUUCCACGUGUAGCAGUGAAAUGCGUAGAGAUGUGGAGGAAUACCGAUGGCGAAGGCAGCCCCCUGGGCCAAUACUGACGCUCAUGCACGAAAGCGUGGGGAGCAAACAGGAUUAGAUACCCUGGUAGUCCACGCCCUAAACGAUGUCAACUAGUUGUUGGGGAUUCAUUUCCUUAGUAACGUAGCUAACGCGUGAAGUUGACCGCCUGGGGAGUACGGUCGCAAGAUUAAAACUCAAAGGAAUUGACGGGGUCAUAGCUGUUUCCU